Molecule: ribosomal RNA, 253 nt
Filed under: uncultured bacterium
Lineage: Bacteria
Description: partial 16S ribosomal RNA
Rfam family: Bacterial small subunit ribosomal RNA
Source: RNAcentral
UACAGAGGGUGCGAGCGUUAAUCGGAAUUACUGGGCGUAAAGCGCGCGUAGGCGGCUUUGCAAGUCGGGUGUGAAAUCCCCAAGCUUAACUUGGGAACUGCAUUCGAGACUGCAUUGCUAGAGUAUGGGAGAGGGAAGUGGAAUUUCCGGUGUAGCGGUGAAAUGCGUAGAUAUCGGAAGGAACAUCAGUGGCGAAAGCGACUUCCUGGACCGGUAUUGACGCUGAUGUGCGAAAGCGUGGGGAGCAAACAGG